CACGACUAACUACACAUGGAUGGUCACUUCCGGUCACUCAGGGAUGGAGCUGGCUUCUCUGACCUUCAUCAGACCCCUGUCUUUCAUCUGCUGAAUCUUUGCUCUGAGACGAAAUGAGCUUUUACAAGAAGAACUAUUUUGAUCCAGCUACUCCAGGGAAAAGGAACACAGUGUCUCCUACCUGCUUGUCCUUAUUACAGAGUGUGAGCACAUAAAAGGGAUUUAAGAUGGCUUACAAAAAUGCACAAUACAGUGUGACAACCUGCCCCAGCAAAGCACAGAAUGAAGGAAGCCGUAAAGGAAGA
Long non-coding RNA from Eptesicus fuscus (big brown bat), 305 nucleotides. RefSeq lists it as uncharacterized. The record is from RefSeq and is a predicted model, not a curated record. Lineage: Eukaryota; Metazoa; Chordata; Mammalia; Chiroptera; Vespertilionidae. The transcript is spliced from 3 exons.